CUUCUUCAGGGCAAUCAAACUGUACUGUAAUCAUGACAGAUUUAUUCGGUAUGCAGCAUCUCCUAUCCAGGCAGAUUCCACAAAACACAGGGUAAAUGGCCAAAAUAACUUGACUCGCCUUGAGACUAUACCUAUGUGGACCAGGGCAGUUCAUGGAGGAGGAUGUUGAUGCUGCAAAAGGUUUUCAUACAGUUUUACUAUCAGUCUACAUGGAAAAUGCAGACCAGAAAAUGUGUCGUCCUUUCAGACAGAUUCGUUUGUACUUAUCUGAUUCAGUACAUUACAGAUGGAUUUAACUACAGUUCCUAUCAUCCCAAAAUUUGGAUUGCAUCUUAACAUCAAGAAAACAAAGAUAAUGGCAACUGGAAACAACACACAGUGCAGAUCGACAAUGACACCGUCAAAACAGUAAAGGAAUUCAUCUCUUCCUGGGUUCUAAAAUCGACCAAAGUGAUGACUGCAGCCCUGAGAUCAGAAUGCGUAUAGCACUUGGAAGAUUAGUUAACGCAAUAAUUUUUUCCAAUUGCUACUUAUGGCUGCGAAACCUGGACUCUGAAAAAGGCAGAUGGGAGAGAAGGCUGGAUGCCUUUGAACUGUGGUGCUGAGGUGACUAUUACACAUCCCAUGGACUACAAAAAUAACAAGAAGUCCUAGGUUGAACCUCCCCAAAAAUAUCACUUGAAGCCAAGUUCACCAAACAAAGGCUGUCGUACUUUGGUCAUGUCAUGAGAAAUGACUCACUCGAAAAGUCAUUCAUGGUGGGAGUGAUAAGCAGAAAAAGGAGAAGGGGCCACUAGUAACCGCUGGCUGGAUACUAUAAAGGAUGGCAUUGGGAUGAUCAUGGUGGAUCUGAAAGAGAUGAUGUGAAACAGAGGGACAUGGAGAAUGCUGAUCCAUAGAGUGGCCAAGGGUCAGACGUGAAUGAAUGGCUGACAAGGAUGAUGAUGACCCCUAUCACCCCCAAUCACCACAGCCAGUGAGUAUACUAAGCAAAGAUUAUUGGAGUAGCAGGACAAAUAAAGUACCAAAUUAAGAUAUUCUGGAACAAAGAACAUUUGCUUUCCUACAGAGACUUCACAUAUUACUUUUCAUUUAGAGUAGGUUCAUAUAACACUCUAGCCAGUACUAUAAUUUGGCUUAGCCUUAGCAUGUUGGAUGCAUGGAAUCAUUGUUAUUUGUAAAACAAUUUGGUUGGUGUUAUUUGUAAACCCACCCAUGUGGAGUUUCUUCAACAAAGCACAACAUGUUGCAGUGACUGAAUCCACUUAUUCAAGGUAAUAUCCUUGGUAACAGCAUUCUCCAACCUGGACUCCAGUUGGGAAUUCUCUGAAUUGAAAUCCCAAAUUAUCGCAGAGUGUUAGCUUCUGUGCUUAAAUUAAAAUAAAACAAAAGCUAGCUUCAUUCUUCAA
Pantherophis guttatus is the source of this 1409-nucleotide non-coding RNA. NCBI's taxonomy places the organism in Eukaryota, Metazoa, Chordata, Lepidosauria, Squamata, Colubridae. The record is from RefSeq and is a predicted model, not a curated record.